UAAAAGAGACCUGCGAUAGCUGAACCAGGAGUAUGCGUGUCUCCCUCCGGUGUACCCCUGUUCUUUCAAGUCGCUGCUCUCUCCCCGAGAACCUUGUUGACCAGUCCGCGGGCUCGGGCAGGUGGCGCCCAACGUGGCGCUCGAGGUACGAGAGAUUUCCAGUAGACCCAGACGCGGCGUGCGGCGCGAGUUACUCAGGCCCCGACCCACCCGGCGGGACAGUCAUUAGGAUGCCUGUGGCCACCUGGAUUCUCCUGGUUCUUCUACAGUAGCCUGUCGCCCGUGUCUUAGCCGGCCUUGGACCACCCGCCUCUCUCGCAUCCGCGUCUUCUUCCUUGGAUUCGCCCUGCAACUGCAAGGCAUUACCUCUGCCCUGGCCACAGGUGCCUCUGGUUUGGCCAUCUCCGUUUCUCAAUACCAUACCUUGUCUCAACAACUCAUUGAUGAUGUACAGGCACUAUCUAGCACCAUCCAAGAUCUUCAGGACCAACUAGACUCUUUGUCGAAGUUACCCUCCAAAACUGAUGCAGUUUUGACCUCCUCACCGCUGAUAAAGGGGGCAUCUGUGUGGUCCUGCAGGAGCGUUGUUGCUUCUAUGCCAAUAAGUCCGGCAUCGUACGCAAUAAAAUCCGCCAAGUCCAAGAAGACCUAGACAGACGCUGGCAGGAUCUUGCAACCAACCCCUUAUGGACUGAACUUAAUGGACUUUUGCCGUAUUUGCUUCCCCUGUUGGGUCCCCUGUUAUCCCUUUUAUUGUUACUUGCUAUGGGUCCUUGUGUUUUAAACACAGUCCCUUCAGGCGAGACCUAUCCAGGUGCACUAUCACCACCUGGAAAUGCUGGAAAGUGGGGAUGCAUAUACGGAUCUCGGGUCGCCGUCUGCGCCUGGCCAGUAGGUAGCACAGCCUACAUGCUAUGGGAGUCCCACCGUCCUGACCCUUGGUAGCCUUUUAACGUCAGUCAUUAUCCAGCUUCCUGCCUGGGCCCCCUUGAGGAUGCUGGAAUGGAUAGCCAAUGACUGGUAAGAUGGAAUGCGGGACAAGACCAACCUAAGACAGCCCGUGCUCCCUUUCCAUCUAGGACCGUCGGGUGAUGACGGGUAAGGCUCGUCCCUGCAAUUCACAACCUAAGACAGGCACAUUCCUCCUCACUAAUAAAGAGAAAAGGGGGAUCUGUUGGCGCCUUACCUCGUGGCAUCAGGAUACUUCUCCCUUCCGUGAUUGGCUGUGCUCCUUUCGGCCCAGUGCGCAUGACGACCUCUGGCGCACCAAAUAAGGGCAUGUGCCCUUCCGGGAUUAGCUGUGCUUCUUUUGGCCCAGUGCGCAUGACGGCCUCUGGCGCACCAAAUAAGGUUAUGUGUUUAAUCAUUGGCUAGGCACUGUUGGCCUGCUUCUUCCGCUUCCGGUCCCCAGCUAUAAAGCCCCGCCGAAACCGAAAGUAAAAGAGACAUGCUUUAGCUGAACCGAGUGUACGUGUCUCCCUCCGUGGUGUACCCCUGUUCUUUCAGGUCGCUGCUCUCCCCCCGAGAACCUCAUUGACCAGUCCACGGGCUCGGACACUUUCAUGUUCCUAUAGAAUUGAAAAGAUAUCUCACUUGGAUUCUGAACAAUUUGUGACAUUUCAAGCCUGCAUGAUUUUGUUCACAUUGUUUUUCCUGGUUAUACAGUUCUAUGUUACAAACUGUCAUCUAACCAUUUGUACCAGAAAACAGCAUUAGACCUUUCUCAAGAUUUUGUGGGUUCCAAAUUUGGAAACACUUCAUUGGGCAGCUUGUCUCCAAUCUGAGGCUGGAAGUGAUGGACCCAACCAGGGUGGCAAGAUCUGACUUAAUCCACAAGGUCAUAGCCAACUGCCAAGCAUCAUCAAGAGGAAACAAUAGAUGAGCCCUUAUGACAAGUUUUGCACCAGGUACAGUCAGAAGCAUGGAAGGGUGAGAGAAUUCACCAGAGCCAGAGUGGGGAGCAGAACAGAACAGAAUGAACGAAAUACACUGCUGAGGGGAGCAGCGGGCGCAGCAGGAGAGGUCUGCGCAUGAUGUGGGACCCUCACCGGUGGCCAGGGAUUGAACCAGCAAUGCAGAGGCUGCAGUCAGCUUCACAGCCGGCGCUCAACCUCUGUGCCACCAGGGGAAGCCCAAGAUUCUGCCAUCUUGAAUUUCAGUUCCACCAUAUGUAAAAAGAAGGUGAAUGAAAUGCAUCUAGAGUUCUAAAUACAAAAUCCUACUUUUCUUACUUUAAACAAAUUAUGUGUAUCACAUGUUUACUUACAUUUUUAGGGCUAUUCCUUACUUUUUACAAAGAAUGUGCCCGCCUCUAUGUUCUUGAUACACAAGAACUACUCAUUCUACCUUUCAUAGAUUUAUUUCUGCCUCAAUGAUAUCAGCAAGACAGGUAUACUGAAUUAUGAUUAUUUAGUCUGGGCUUCAAUGUUGAGGAGACAAUAUGGAAUAGUUGAGACUAUGAAAAACUGGCACAGGCAUCUUGGAUGAUGGAUAAAAAAUGUACAUUCCCAGCACUUAAUUGCUGAGCCAGAAUGUUGGCUUUAAAAUUUUUAGGAGAAAUUCUCUGAAGGCUUGUCAGGGGGUAGGGAAAACCUAGAUUUUUCUUUUAUUUUAGAUCUCAUAUAUUUAAUUGCAAUAGAAAACAACCUAUGCAAGUCUUAGAAAACACAUACUUGGAUUAAAUCCAGUCAUUGGAUCAUGUAUUUGCAAUCUCUCAGCUAGAUGAGUUGCAAAAGCUCUUUCAGCUCUCUGAUUGAUUAGAAAUUCAUUACUCAUUAGAAGGGCAGGUGCAUUGGGCAUAAUUUGUUUUUAUUACCCAGCAUCCAUUUACUCUCCCUUAAUAAGAAAGCCCAGAUUUUAUUUUGAUCUUGAGAGCUUGUUUGGAGAUCCUAGUGGGCACCACAGCUACUCACAUACCCUUGAUGGAAGAACAGUCUUUCUCUAUUGGGGAAUGCCAUCCUCUUCCACCGAGCACACAGUUUCAGGAAGGAUGUGCAUGGAGCAGCGAGGGAGGAAGUGCAUACUGGCCUGGCCGGCCAGAUCAGCUCAAUCAACCCUGGUGAUCAAUGUGGUUACAGAUGUCCCAGCCAGACCACCCUCAUAUCCCCAGAUUUUAUUUGGAAAAUUGUAUCUUUCCUCCACCCUGAAUCUACACAUUCCACUGACGUUGUGUCUGUCUGUAGCUCUAAGAGUGAAUUAAGUAAAAUAAAUAAAUGAAUAAAUGUUUUUCAGUGGUAAGCACAUGGCCCAAGUCAUGCCAACCAGAAACAGUGACUAAAUUCUGGGUCUUUUUUAAGCGAUCAGAAAAGUAGAUCUUUUCUCUGCUAGAGAGGAACUAAGAAAGAAGUAGCCCUGGAAGAUGCUGGAAGCAACCAACAGAACUCUAACAGAAUAGAGCCAAGACAGAGAAAACAGAGACACUGUAACAGGGUGGUCCCCAGGAAAGGGGGAGUUUCCCUGCCCCACCCAAAGAAGGGUGGAGCUGAGCAGGAAGAGGAGAAGCGGGAGAAGAGACUGAGGAAGGAAGGAAGCAGGAUGGAGCCAGGAGACCUGGAGGAGGCACAUGGAGCCUAGAGACAUGUGAAGAAACUGUGCUUGUCUUUUGGUCGUGGACUGGGUGACACAGAUGUGGGUGAGACCCGUGGGGAGGUGACAAUGGCAGCUUUUAUUUUGAUGUUGAUUUUGCUCUUUUCCUUCCGGGCUUGUCCGGUUGUUUGUGACCCUUUGCUGUGGGUCCCCACUGGAAGAUGCUUUAGACUUGUGGCAGGCUUUGGGGCCUUGUUCUGGGCCAAUCCCAUUUGGAUGGACUUUUACCCACGAGGGGAUGGGUAACUCUGGAUGCUUCAUUUAGAAACUAGACUCUUUGCCUUACCUGUAUUGUUUCCUAGUUUUAUUAAAGUUCCUUCCCAUUAAAGUCUCCUAUGUUUUGUGUUGAUGCGGCGGAUGG
This is a long non-coding RNA of Talpa occidentalis (Iberian mole), 3946 nucleotides long. RefSeq lists it as uncharacterized. The transcript is spliced from 4 exons. The record is from RefSeq and is a predicted model, not a curated record. NCBI's taxonomy places the organism in Eukaryota, Metazoa, Chordata, Mammalia, Eulipotyphla, Talpidae.